AUUUGAUAGCUACUAAUAUUUCUUGAUAAAUCAGUCUGCGCUUGCAAGUCAUUUUUGACCUUGUAGACGCGAUAUGAUUGUUAUAUUUUCAUCCUUUCACUGUCCAUGUUUUUGUGGUCUCUAUCUAGUAAGGUUCAAAUUGUUUUCAUCUCUGUGAUUGAUCCUUUCUCAGAACUUCCAAUGGUAAAGAGAACAGAUUUUAUCACUUAAUUAGGUCAUGCAAAUGGAUCAAGGAGUUCUGCUGACGAGAAAGGUUUAGUGUUGAUGAGCCCUUAAAGUGCCCACUUAUGAUUUGAGGUACAAAAUUCCAUUCUCGACUCAGUUACUCACUUUGAAUCCUUCUUCCAAUUUAAAAUUAAUGAUUCAUACAAGGGUAACAUGUGAAAGGUUGAAAGUUAUUAACAGGAGAAUUUGACAAUUAUCCGAAAAAUUUGUUUGCUGGCCCAUCUAUUUACUACAUAUCAUAAACUGAAUUCUUAUAAUUGAUUCUUCUACAAAACAACUUUUGUACAUAAUGUUGCCCUGUGUGAAAUGACAGAUGGUCUUAUAGAUGGAGAACUCUUCUAUUUGAAUGACGUUGAUGCCUAAACUGGGGGUAUUAAUGGGGUAGUUGCAAACUUGGUUGUGCAAUAAUCAAGCCUUGCCUAAGUUUCAGGCUUUGCAUGUAGCAACCCAAAAAUUUUAUAGAUAAAAAUUUAUUUAUUUUGUAUAUUAUAUAAAUUCCUAUUUUAUUUGGGUCUAAUAAUUAGAUUUUCACAUAUCAAGAUUUAACAUAUCAAUAUUGGGCUUGUUGGAUAGAUCCACUCAUUUCACAUGUAGAUAUAUAGGAAUUCUACCUUGUAUUUGUAAUUGUAGUAGUUGGCCAUGAUUCUACUUUUGAUUUAGUAAGUUUUAGUUAUAUAUAUUUUUAUCACAAUCAAGUAUACGAAUCACAUCAUGAUUUGCUUUAUCAAAAAAGUUUAGCUUUAUCAAAUUUGGUGGUACACGUCUCUUUCAUCCCAAUUUCACCAAAAUUCUAUUGUCUUUUUCAACUAUAAAUACAAUGCCAAAAGUCUCAUCAUUGACUACCAAAAAUAAAUACAAUACAUACGGGAAAGAGAGAGAGAAUAGCAUUGGAAAUAAAGUUUGCAUACAUCGAAUAUUUUAAUCACGUAUUUUUCAAAGCGGAGAAAAGAUUUUGAACGUGCUUCAGAUUUUUCUAAUGAGGUAAGAUACUUUAAGUGCAAGUGUUUUUGUUUCCUUAUAUGUUUAUAUUCAAUAAAAAAAUUCAUUGAUUGUCAGUAGACAUUCGUUUUUUUUAAGAGAUAUGAAAUCCUACGGGAUUAUAAGAGGACUUAAGAUGGGUGUGUUGCUUGAUUAUCGAUAUACUCCAUAAAAUCAGAUGGUAUGAAUUGUAAUUUUUAUUGUUAUAUAUAUGUAAAUGGAAGCUGCACGUAUCUUAUUGGGUGUUUUCGAAUACACACUUUUACAAAUUUUUGCAGGUUAGUACAGGUCGAUUGGAAUUGUGGAAGGGCGGUGAUGCGGGUUGCCAAGUGGAUCAAAUGAAAAGAAAAAAGAAAUAAGUUUGUCGUUUUUAAAUUUACCAAUUAGUUUAAUUUUAUUCCAACCAUGUUAUUUGAAUUAAUCAGGAGUUUAUGUUAUGUUUAGAUAAAAUUUUCAUAUUUUAAAUUUAGAUUUAUAAAUUUUGCAGUUAUUUGUUUAAUAAAUAAUUUUAUUUUUAUAGUUCCGCACUUAAAAUAAAGAAAAAUGAGUUUUUCGUAAUGUUUCGGAGUUUAUAGAAAAUUGGGGCGUUACAUUGCAACUCCUCAAUUGUCUUGCUAAGAACUCAUCAUUCUCUCUCUGAUAUCUCAUCAGUUACUUCAUUGAUCUAACUUUUCAUAAAUAUUAUAAGAUGGCUGCAUAGGCGAAUUUGAAGUUUCGUACACGAGAUAACUGUAGAGUUGUUGAAUAUAAAGUUACAUGAACUUUCUGCUGUGUGAUUCAGAAUAUGGAUUUGCUGCAACUUUGCCGAAAUUCUAUUGACUAAGAAUUGCUUCUAAAAUCUUGUACAGUCUAUGAAAAAUGCCUGUUUCAAUGAUGCAUGAGGCUAAAUAAUGUUGUAAUCAGACUUCAGAGCAUCAUCUUAUUAAUUUUUUUCAGCAUUGCACAACAAAAGAGAACCUUGGUUCAGGAAUUGAAGUGCUUGACAAUAACUAGCGUUUCUAUCUGUAAAGUGGCAUGUGCUAUAUCGUUCGAACCCUACAUCACCUGGUGGUGGCUAUCGGAGUUCAAUUGGAUGCCUAUUUUUCAAAACCAACGAAAUGAUUCAGGUUGUUGAAGCCCCUAACGCAGUGAGAAACUGAGUAUCCUUUUCUCUUCUAGGGCUCCAAGAAGGAGAGAUUUCAUUGAAGGGUAAAUCCAAUUGCCAAAUUUUUUAUUUGAUUUUCAUUUUUAUUUUUCACUCAAGUAUUUAGGGAGUUCUUUCUUUCUGUGGAUACCAUUCAACCAAAAGAUCAAGAUUCCUUAUGCUUUUGCUAAAACUCAUACAGCAUCUUGAAAACUUUCUUUCUGCAUGAAGCAUCAAGUGACGAGAGAUGGCAAUUUAAACUGACCUGGUGCAGCUGCAAGAUCUAUCAAAACUUGAGGCAAUUACCACAUUAUAAUCAUUAGUUUCAUCAAGGUAUUGAUAUGGCCUAAUGACUAUA
This 2684-nucleotide long non-coding RNA is filed under the name Olea europaea subsp. europaea. The record is from RNAcentral. Lineage: Eukaryota; Viridiplantae; Streptophyta; Magnoliopsida; Lamiales; Oleaceae.